Molecule: ribosomal RNA, 312 nt
Filed under: uncultured bacterium
Lineage: Bacteria
Description: bacterial SSU rRNA
Rfam family: Bacterial small subunit ribosomal RNA
Source: RNAcentral
AGUAAAUAGAUACCCCGGUAGUCCACGCCGUAAACGAUGAAUACUAGGUGUAGGAGGUAUCGACUCCUUCUGUGCCGCAGUUAAACAACAAUAAGUAUUCCGCCUGGGGAGUACGGUCGCAAGAUUAAGACUCAAAGGAAUUGACGGGGGCCCGGCACAAGCAGCGGAGCAUGUGGUUUUAAUUCGAAGCAACGCGAAGAACCUUACCUAGACUUGACAUCUUCUGCAUUAAUCGUAAUGGAUGAAAUCCCUUCGGGGACAGAAUGACAGGUGGUGCAUGGUUGUCGUCAGCUCGUGUCGUGAGAUGUUGGG